Molecule: ribosomal RNA, 333 nt
Filed under: uncultured bacterium
Lineage: Bacteria
Description: bacterial SSU rRNA
Rfam family: Bacterial small subunit ribosomal RNA
Source: RNAcentral
AGGGUUUGAUUCUGGCUCAGGACGAACGCUGGCGGCGCGCCUAACACAUGCAAGUCGAACGGAGUCAAGAGGAGCUUGCUUUUCUUGACUUAGUGGCGAACGGGUGAGUAACGCGUGAGUAACCUGCCCUGGAGUGGGGGACAACAGUUGGAAACGACUGCUAAUACCGCAUAAGCCCACGGAUCCGCAUGGAUCUGCGGGAAAAGGAUUUAUUCGCUUCAGGAUGGACUCGCGUCCAAUUAGCUAGUUGGUGAGGUAACGGCCCACCAAGGCGACGAUUGGUAGCCGGACUGAGAGGUUGAACGGCCACAUUGGGACUGAGACACGGCCCAG